AUGAAUGUCAGACCCAUUCUAAGACUGGCUUGCAGCUCUGUUUUUGGUUCAACUUCAUGUUUUACUGAUAUACUUGUUCAACACAUACCUGAUGAUGAGGAGGACAUGACUGUAACGAAGUUGUGGGUUUAUCAAGCUCGUGAAAGGAUACCAAUAGCUGAGGCCCUUCCCGGUUGCAAUUUACGAUUUCUGAGUUGCCCUUUGCUAUAUGUUGGACUUGUGAUGCUUGUUGGGCUUGUACACAUUAUUCUGAUUUUACUAUCUUACUGA
Vicia faba (fava bean) is the source of this 270-nucleotide non-coding RNA. NCBI's taxonomy places the organism in Eukaryota, Viridiplantae, Streptophyta, Magnoliopsida, Fabales, Fabaceae. The record is from the annotation of a GenBank genome assembly.